Molecule: ribosomal RNA, 497 nt
Filed under: uncultured bacterium
Lineage: Bacteria
Description: partial 16S ribosomal RNA
Rfam family: Bacterial small subunit ribosomal RNA
Source: RNAcentral
GAUGAACGCUGGCGGCGUGCCUAAUACAUGCAAGUCGAGCGAACGGACGAGAAGCUUGCUUCUCUGAUGUUAGCGGCGGACGGGUGAGUAACACGUGGAUAACCUACCUAUAAGACUGGGAUAACUUCGGGAAACCGGAGCUAAUACCGGAUAAUAUUUUGAACCGCAUGGUUCAAAAGUGAAAGACGGUCUUGCUGUCACUUAUAGAUGGAUCCGCGCUGCAUUAGCUAGUUGGUAAGGUAACGGCUUACCAAGGCAACGAUGCAUAGCCGACCUGAGAGGGUGAUCGGCCACACUGGAACUGAGACACGGUCCAGACUCCUACGGGAGGCAGCAGUAGGGAAUCUUCCGCAAAGGGCGAAAGCCUGACGGAGCAACGCCGCGUGAGUGAUGAAGGUCUUCGGAUCGUAAAACUCUGUUAUUAGGGAAGAACAUAUGUGUAAGUAACUGUGCACAUCUUGACGGUACCUAAUCAGAAAGCCACGGCUAACUACGCG